Molecule: small nuclear RNA, 258 nt
Filed under: Jaculus jaculus (lesser Egyptian jerboa)
Lineage: Eukaryota; Metazoa; Chordata; Mammalia; Rodentia; Dipodidae
Description: 7SK RNA (ENSJJAG00000004873.1)
Rfam family: 7SK RNA
About the family: 7SK was discovered as an abundant small nuclear RNA in the mid-70s but a possible function has only recently been suggested. Two independent studies have found that 7SK RNA binds the CDK9/cyclin T complex (known as elongation factor P-TEFb).
Source: RNAcentral
GGAUAUGAGGGUGAUCUGGUUACAACAUCUGUCACCCCUCUUAUCACCACUGAUCUGGCUGGGUCAGCAGGCGCUGCUCUCCCCUCUCCCCACUCCACGUAUGUCCCUCCGGAACUGCUUACUCUUUUAAAGAGGAUGAUCUUCUCUGACAGAGGAGGACUGUUCUUCAGUCAGGGGCAUAUGACAGCUAGAACCUUCAAGCAAGCUCUGAAGGGUCUCACACGCAACAUUACUAAUGUUUACAGUGAGCACAUAUGU